GUUAAGAUACUUGGUAAUUGCAUAAAACUUAAAACUUUACAAUCAGGGGUUCAACUCCUCUUCUUAACA
Molecule: transfer RNA, 69 nt
Filed under: Chlorocebus sabaeus (green monkey)
Lineage: Eukaryota; Metazoa; Chordata; Mammalia; Primates; Cercopithecidae
Rfam family: tRNA
About the family: Transfer RNA (tRNA) molecules are approximately 80 nucleotides in length. Their secondary structure includes four short double-helical elements and three loops (D, anti-codon, and T loops).
Source: Rfam by way of RNAcentral